Molecule: small nuclear RNA, 135 nt
Filed under: Micromonas pusilla CCMP1545
Lineage: Eukaryota; Viridiplantae; Chlorophyta; Mamiellophyceae; Mamiellales; Mamiellaceae
Description: U4 spliceosomal RNA
Rfam family: U4 spliceosomal RNA
About the family: U4 small nuclear RNA (U4 snRNA) is a component of the major U2-dependent spliceosome. The structure of U4 snRNA from yeast and human has been reported.
Source: Rfam by way of RNAcentral
AUCUUUGCGCUUGGGGCAAUGUCGCCGCUCAUGACUUUUUAAGGAGGCGCGACUUUUGCUAGUUGAAAACUAAAUGUCCAACCCCCAAGACCGGGUCACACGACCUUGAUCUUAAUUGCUGGAGCUCCACAGGGG